This 75-nucleotide transfer RNA is filed under the name Chloroflexota bacterium. RNAcentral's name for it is "Chloroflexi bacterium tRNA-Pro". It matches the Rfam family "tRNA". Rfam says of the family: Transfer RNA (tRNA) molecules are approximately 80 nucleotides in length. Their secondary structure includes four short double-helical elements and three loops (D, anti-codon, and T loops). Further hydrogen bonds mediate the characteristic L-shaped molecular structure. tRNAs have two regions of fundamental functional importance: the anti-codon, which is responsible for specific mRNA codon recognition, and the 3' end, to which the tRNAs corresponding amino acid is attached (by aminoacyl-tRNA synthetases). tRNAs cope with the degeneracy of the genetic code in two manners: having more than one tRNA (with a specific anti-codon) for a particular amino acid; and 'wobble' base-pairing, i.e. permitting non-standard base-pairing at the 3rd anti-codon position. Lineage: Bacteria; Bacillati; Chloroflexota. RNAcentral also lists the same sequence under 1 other name. The record is from RNAcentral.
CGGGGAGUGGCGCAGAGGAAGCGCGCCUGCUUUGGGAGCAGGAGGUCGCGGGUUCGAUCCCCGCCUCCCCGACCA